This is a long non-coding RNA of Myotis lucifugus (little brown bat), 248 nucleotides long. RefSeq lists it as uncharacterized. The transcript has 3 exons. Lineage: Eukaryota; Metazoa; Chordata; Mammalia; Chiroptera; Vespertilionidae. The record is from RefSeq and is a predicted model, not a curated record.
UAUCAAUGAAUCUUUGCGGGACCAGCUGCUGGUGACCAUCCAGAAGACCUUCACGUACACUCGAACACAAGCGCAGCAUCUGUUCAUCGUCCUCAUGGAGUGCAUGAAGAAGAAGGAACUGAUUACAGUAUUUCGGAUGGGAUCAGAAGGACACCAGGACAUUGAUUUAGCUAUCCUGACAGCUUUGCUCAAAGGAGCCAAUGCCUCUGCCCCGGACCAACUGAGCUUGGCCUUAGCCUGGAACCGAG